This 380-nucleotide ribosomal RNA is filed under the name uncultured eukaryote. Its description in RNAcentral is "partial 18S ribosomal RNA". It matches the Rfam family "Eukaryotic small subunit ribosomal RNA", at positions 592 to 976 of the family's 1831-position model. The record is from RNAcentral.
CAAUAGCGUAUAUUAAAGUCGUUGCAGUUAAAAAGCUCGUAGUUGGAUUUGUGGCGUACGGUGUGUUCCGGGCACUUGUUGUCUGAGUAACCUGCUGUUGCCAUCCUUGGGUGGAACCUGUGUGGCAUUAGGUUGUCGUGCAGGGGAUGCCCAUCAUUUACUGUGAAAAAAUUAGAGUGUUCAAAGCAGGCUUAUGCCGUUGAAUAUAUUAGCAUGGAAUAAUGAGAUAGGACUUUUUUGCUAUUUUGUUGGUUUGCGCAAAGAGGUAAUGAUUAAUAGGGACAGUUGGGGGUAUUCGUAUUCCAUUGUCAGAGGUGAAAUUCUUGGAUUUUUGGAAGACGAACUGCUGCGAAAGCAUUUACCAAGGAUGUUUUCAUUAA